CAGCAGCCGCGGUAAUACGUAGGUGGCAAGCGUUGUCCGGAUUUAUUGGGCGUAAAGCGAGCGCAGGCGGUCAAUUGAGUCUGAUGUGAAAGCCCCCGGCUCAACCGGGGAGGGUCAUUGGAAACUGGUUGACUUGAGUGCAGAAGAGGAGAGUGGAAUUCCAUGUGUAGCGGUGAAAUGCGUAGAUAUAUGGAGGAACACCAGUGGCGAAGGCGACUCUCUGGUCUGUAACUGACGCUGAGGCUCGAAAGCGUGGGUAGCAAACAGGAUUAGAUACCCCUGUAGUCCCUGUCUCUUAUAA
RNAcentral lists this ribosomal RNA (301 nucleotides) under uncultured bacterium. RNAcentral's name for it is "partial 16S ribosomal RNA". It matches the Rfam family "Bacterial small subunit ribosomal RNA", at positions 509 to 809 of the family's 1533-position model. The record is from RNAcentral.